Molecule: ribosomal RNA, 534 nt
Filed under: uncultured bacterium
Lineage: Bacteria
Description: partial 16S ribosomal RNA
Rfam family: Bacterial small subunit ribosomal RNA
Source: RNAcentral
UGGGGAAUAUUGCACAAUGGGCGAAAGCCUGAUGCAGCAACGCCGCGUGAGUGAUGAAGGUCUUCGGAUUGUAAAGCUCUGUCUUUUGGGACGAUAAUGACGGUACCAAAGGAGGAAGCCACGGCUAACUACGUGCCAGCAGCCGCGGUAAUACGUAGGUGGCGAGCGUUGUCCGGAUUUACUGGGCGUAAAGGGUGCGUAGGCGGAUGUUUAAGUGAGAUGUGAAAUACCCGGGCUUAACUUGGGUGCUGCAUUUCAAACUGGAUAUCUAGAGUGCAGGAGAGGAGAAUGGAAUUCCUAGUGUAGCGGUGAAAUGCGUAGAGAUUAGGAAGAACACCAGUGGCGAAGGCGAUUCUCUGGACUGUAACUGACGCUGAGGCACGAAAGCGUGGGUAGCAAACAGGAUUAGAUACCCUGGUAGUCCACGCCGUAAACGAUGAGUACUAGGUGUAGGAGGUAUCGACCCCUUCUGUGCCGCAGUAAACACAUUAAGUACUCCGCCUGGGAAGUACGAUCGCAAGAUUAAAAACUCAU